GGGCCAUUAGCUCAACCGGUAGAGCAUCCGACUCUUAAUCGGGUGGUUACAGGUUCGAGUCCUGUAUGGCCCACCA
Molecule: transfer RNA, 76 nt
Filed under: Candidatus Fermentithermobacillaceae bacterium
Lineage: Bacteria; Bacillati; Bacillota; Candidatus Fermentithermobacillia; Candidatus Fermentithermobacillales; Candidatus Fermentithermobacillaceae
Description: tRNA-Lys
Rfam family: tRNA
About the family: Transfer RNA (tRNA) molecules are approximately 80 nucleotides in length. Their secondary structure includes four short double-helical elements and three loops (D, anti-codon, and T loops). Further hydrogen bonds mediate the characteristic L-shaped molecular structure. tRNAs have two regions of fundamental functional importance: the anti-codon, which is responsible for specific mRNA codon recognition, and the 3' end, to which the tRNAs corresponding amino acid is attached (by aminoacyl-tRNA synthetases). tRNAs cope with the degeneracy of the genetic code in two manners: having more than one tRNA (with a specific anti-codon) for a particular amino acid; and 'wobble' base-pairing, i.e. permitting non-standard base-pairing at the 3rd anti-codon position.
Source: RNAcentral